This is an RNA transcript of Solanum stenotomum, 2076 nucleotides long. It is a transcript of the gene named serine/threonine-protein kinase STY17-like, with no coding region annotated. The transcript is spliced from 17 exons. Lineage: Eukaryota; Viridiplantae; Streptophyta; Magnoliopsida; Solanales; Solanaceae. The record is from RefSeq and is a predicted model, not a curated record.
AAGUACUAACAAAUGAUGAAGCAAGCUUUUUGCUCCGCUAUAGUGACACUUGAAAUUCCUCCAUUGUUGUAGCGAGUUUAAAUUUAGUUGAACUGAAGGUUUGGUUCUGCUCUGUAAAUGGCGAUUGACGAUAACGAGAGUUGCGGAAGCCGAGCUAUGGAGCCGUCGUCUCCGAAGCACAGCAGGUUGCAGAGGCAGAAACUUCAAGCUUUUAACGAAGUGUUGAGUCGAUUACAGGAUUUGAAUCUCGAAGAAGCUCACCUCCCUGGCUUUGAAGACCAGCUUUGGCUUCACUUUAAUCGCCUCCCCGCUCGAUAUGCAUUAGAUGUGAAUGUGGAAAGAGCAGAAGAUGUGCUCGUGCAUAGGAGAUUACUGCAACUAGCGAAGGAUCCUGAGAAUAGACCUGCUUUCGAUGUUCGCCUUGUGCAGGUGCAUCCCACCUACAAUGGAAUCUCAUCCAACUCUGAUGAUGUAAAUUCUGCAGUUAAAGAAGAAUACCCAUGCAUCCAUCCUCCUCCAACAUUUGGUUCAUCAUCAAAUCUACAGCCCUUUGAAAUUGAUGAUAAUAAUGCUCAUGUAAAUGAUGGAGAAAGUGAUGCCAAUUCUACUUCAGGGACAACCAGGUCCAUGCACGAGAUUACUUUUUCAAUGAUUAACAAGCCAAAGUUGCUGACUCAGUUGACUUCUAUAGUUUCUGAGAUUGGUCUGAACAUUGAGGAAGCUCAUGUUUUUUCGACUGCCGAUGGUUUCUCCUUAGAUGUCUUUGUGGUUGAUGGAUGGCCAUAUGAGGAAACAGGAUUGCUGAAGGGUGAGCUGCAAAAGGGAAUAAUGAGGAGCAAGGAGCAACCACGACAUUCCUUGGUUGCUAAGAAUGGGCAAGGUCAAACAAUAUCUGAAUCAGUUUCUAACUGUGUUAAAAUACCUACUGAUGGAACUGACGACUGGGAAAUCGAUCUUCGUUUGUUGAAGUUGGAAAACAGAGUUGCUUCUGGGUCAUCUGGAGAUCUGUAUAAAGGCACGUAUUGUUGCCAGGAAGUAGCUAUAAAAGUUCUGAAGCCAGAACAGUUGAAUAUGGAUAUAUUAAAAGAGUUCUCACAAGAGGUCUUCAUAAUGAGGAAAAUUCGGCACAAAAAUGUUGUUCAAUUUAUAGGGGCAUGCAGGCAACCUCCAAACCUAUGCAUCGUGACUGAGUUCAUGUCGAGAGGAAGUAUUUACAACUUUCUGCACAAACAAAAAGGUGCCUUUAAGCUCCUUACUCUCCUCAAGGUUGCAGCUGAUGUCUCUAAGGGAAUGAAUUAUCUGCACCAGAAUAACAUAAUUCAUCGGGAUCUGAAGACUGCCAAUCUUCUAAUGGAUGAACAUGGAGCUGUUAAGGUUGGCGAUUUUGGGGUUGCCAGAGUGCAAGCUCAAACUGGGGUGAUGACUGCAGAAACUGGAACAUAUAGAUGGAUGGCUCCUGAGGUAAUCGAACACAGACCAUAUGAUCACAAGGCCGAUGUUUUCAGCUUUGGUAUAGUGCUGUGGGAACUUCUGAGUGGAGAAAUACCAUAUGCACACUUAACACCUUUACAAGCAGCAAUAGGCGUUGUGCAACAGGAUCUACGGCCAAGAAUUCCGGAACAUGCUCAUCCAAAGCUUGUGGAACUUGUUGAGAAAUGUUGGCAGCAAGAUCCCACUCAAAGACCUGAUUUUUCAGAGGUUUUGGAUAUUCUCAAGCGUCUAACCAAAGAGGUUGGGCAUGACGGGGAGGACAAGUCAAUUGGUGGCUUUUUGCCGGCUCGUAAAAAGGGCCAUCACUGACAUCUGGUGCAGGGGUUUCAGGAUCUGUCACAAUGUAUAGAGUUUGAGAUGUCCAAGAGUUAGAAACUCGUCUCAAGGUGUCGUGAGACUAUUGCCAUGGCCCAUGGGAGUACAAUUUCUCUUCUAUUUAGUUAAAUCAACCAGGCUUUAACGUAAAUGCUGUUAUUCUAUUUAGUAUGUCAAAAAUGUCUUCUUAGAUUAAGAAGGGCAGACAAAUUUAGUUAACUAUAUGGUUAGUGUAAAACUGACAACCAUUUUCUUUAUGAGCUGUCUAUC